This 256-nucleotide ribosomal RNA is filed under the name uncultured bacterium. RNAcentral's name for it is "partial 16S ribosomal RNA". It matches the Rfam family "Bacterial small subunit ribosomal RNA", at positions 96 to 353 of the family's 1533-position model. The record is from RNAcentral.
UGGCGGACGGGUGAGUAAUGUCUGGGAAACUGCCUGAUGGAGGGGGAUAACUACUGGAAACGGUAGCUAAUACCGCAUAACGUCGCAAGACCAAAGAGGGGGACCUUCGGGCCUCUUGCCAUCGGAUGUGCCCAGAUGGGAUUAGCUAGUAGGUGGGGUAACGGCUCACCUAGGCGACGAUCCCUAGCUGGUCUGAGAGGAUGACCAGCCACACUGGAACUGAGACACGGUCCAGACUCCUACGGGAGACAGCAUG